Molecule: long non-coding RNA, 269 nt
Filed under: Prunus persica (peach)
Lineage: Eukaryota; Viridiplantae; Streptophyta; Magnoliopsida; Rosales; Rosaceae
Description: long non-coding RNA (PPER_LNC000668)
Source: RNAcentral
UUUAGUCAAUUUACAUACAAUUUGGUUUUGAUUUGUGAAAAAGCAACUGCGACUGUGUUUAAGCUGUGAGGCUCUUGCAACGGUCAUAUUUCACAACCCUAUUUCCUAAUAGCUUUAGGAUAUGCCUAAAUGCUUCUCUUCGCUCCCAAUAGCUUCAAAUAUUCAAUAUCACAACUUUCUCUCUCUCUUGCCCUCACUUUCACCUCUUGUCUCUCUGAUUUCUGCUUUCUUGAGCAACCCAACUAUUCCAACGAGCACAUUUUUCUUUU